RNAcentral lists this ribosomal RNA (680 nucleotides) under Bacillus sp. (in: firmicutes). Its description in RNAcentral is "bacterial SSU rRNA". It matches the Rfam family "Bacterial small subunit ribosomal RNA", at positions 136 to 790 of the family's 1533-position model. The record is from RNAcentral. Lineage: Bacteria; Bacillati; Bacillota; Bacilli; Caryophanales; Bacillaceae.
GACUGGGAUAACUCCGGGAAACCGGGGCUAAUACCGGAUGGAACAUUUUGAACUGCAUGGUUCGAAAUUGAAAGGCGGCUUCGGCUGUCACUUAUGGAUGGACCCGCGUCGCAUUAGCUAGUUGGUGAGGUAACGGCUCACCAAGGCAACGAUGCGUAGCCGGAACCUGAGAGGGUGAUCGGCCACACUGGGACUGAGACACGGCCCAGACUCCUACGGGAGGCAGCAGUAGGGAAUCUUCCGCAAUGGACGAAAGUCUGACGGAGCAACGCCGCGUGAGUGAUGAAGGCUUUCGGGUCGUAAAACUCUGUUGUUAGGGAAGAACAAGUGCUAGUUGAAUAAGCUGGCACCUUGACGGUACCUAACCAGAAAGCCACGAGGCUAACUACGUGCCAGCAGCCGCGGUAAUACGUAGGUGGCAAGCGUUAUCCGGAAUUAUUGGGCGUAAAGCCGCGCGCAGGUGGUUUCUUAAGUCUGAUGUGAAAGCCCACGGCUCAACCGUGGAGGGUCAUUGGAAACUGGCGAGACUUGAGUGCAGAAGAGGAAAGUGGAAUUCCAUGUGUAGCGGUGAAAUGCGUAGAGAUAUGGAGGAACCACCAGUGGCGAAGGCGACUUUCUGGUCUGUAACUGACACUGAGGCGCGAAAGCGUGGGGAGCAAACAGGAUAAUAGAUACCCAAA